Molecule: ribosomal RNA, 253 nt
Filed under: uncultured bacterium
Lineage: Bacteria
Description: partial 16S ribosomal RNA
Rfam family: Bacterial small subunit ribosomal RNA
Source: RNAcentral
UACGGAGGGUGCAAGCGUUAUCCGGAUUCACUGGGUUUAAAGGGUGCGUAGGUGGGCAGGUAAGUCAGUGGUGAAAUCUCCGGGCUUAACUCGGAAACUGCCGUUGAUACUAUCUGUCUUGAAUAUCGUGGAGGUUAGCGGAAUAUGUCAUGUAGCGGUGAAAUGCUUAGAUAUGACAUAGAACACCCAUCGCGAAGGCAGCUAACUACACGAUCAUUGACACUGAGGCACGAAAGCGUGGGGAGCAAACAGG